Molecule: unclassified non-coding RNA, 208 nt
Filed under: Bacillus sp. (in: firmicutes)
Lineage: Bacteria; Bacillati; Bacillota; Bacilli; Caryophanales; Bacillaceae
Description: partial contains 16S ribosomal RNA and 16S-23S ribosomal RNA intergenic spacer
Source: RNAcentral
UGUCGUAACAAGGUAGCCGUAUCGGAAGGUGCGGCUGGAUCACCUCCUUUCUAAGGAUAUUAUACGGAAUAUAAGACCUUAGGUCUUAUAAACAGAACGUUCCCUGUCUUGUUUAGUUUUGAAGGAUCAUUCCUUCGAAACGUGUUCUUUGAAAACUAGAUAACAGUAGACAUCACAUUCAAUUAGUAACACAAGAUAUCACAUAGUG